AUGGCCAAGUACUGGUGGAGCAGCUCCCUUGACCGACGCUCUAUGCACUGGUUGUCGUGGGAGGCGCUAGCACAGCCGAAGGCAAAGGGAGGGAUGGGAUUCCGGGAUUUGGAGAUGUUUAAUACUGCUCUUCUUGGCAAGCACGGAUGGAGAUUGAUAACGAAUCCCGAUACUCUUUGUGCACGGGUACUAAAAGGAAAAUAUUAUCCUUCAUGCGAGUUUCUGCAAGCCACUAUUCCGAAACAUGCUUCUGUCACUUGGCGAGCGAUAAUUCAUGGAAGGAAAGCUUUGAACUCCGGCAUGAUCAAACGUAUUGGAAAUGGCACAACGGUCAAUAUAUGGACGGACAAGUGGAUUCCGGAUACCAUCACGAUGUCUCCCGUUGCAAGGCUUGGGAACGCCCAUAUUAAUACAGUUUCAGACAUUAUUGAUGCUGAUAUUUGGACUUGGAAAUCUGAAGUGGUCAGUGAAACUUUCAUACCCCCCGAUGCGGAUGCAAUUCUUAAUAUCUCCUUGAGAAGGGGAGGGGGUGAUGAUUACAUGGCUUGGGCUCUAGAAAGGAACGGGAUUUAUACUGUAAAGUCAGCGUAUCGAUCUCUAAUGAUUCAGAACGAGCAGUCUGCUCUAGAAGAAGGGACGAUCACGGAAACUUCAGAGACAGAAAAACAGUUAUGUGCUGAGGAGGAUCUGAUGCAUGCCCUGUUAAACUGCAGCCAUGCCAGGAGUUUCUCGAUAGCAGCACCGGAUUUGUUGGGUGUUAAACGCCCAGAUUUACACCCACACACUUGGAGAAAGGAUAUACUGUGUGAUGCUAGAUUUUCAGAGGCUGAUAAGGCAAGGUUGGUAUCUAUUAUGUGGUCCAUUUGGACCUCCAGGAAUAAUCUUACUCAUGAAAAGGGUACUCUAGACCCGGUUCAGUACAUGAAAAACAUUCGGGAGUCUUUGGCAGUGUUGGAAUUGCCAAGGGAGCAUGCCCGAACUCUUCCAGGGCAUGGAUGGCGUCCACCUGAUGAUGGGUGGAUCAAAAUCAACACUGACGGAAGCAUUGCAAUGGAAGCGCGGCGAGGUGGAGUUGGAGGUGUGGCUAGAUCUUCCAUGGCCCUGAAAGCUGCCUGGUGUAAACCGUAUUCAGGUAUUACGGACCCUCUCGUAGCUGAAGCACUUGCAGUUCGUGAUGGAGUUAUCUUUGCAAAGCUUCGGGGCUACGACAAAGUUGUCAUUGAGACAGACUGUAUGGAGAUCGUUGAUCUUUGGAACUCGCGUCAGGCUCAUCGAGCUGUGGUGGCGCCUAUCUUGUUAGAGAUUGGGGAGCAUGCUUGUAGUUUUUCUUCUUUCUUUGUUCAACAUGUGUGUAGAUCAGCAAACUUCUCUGCCCACCUUUGUGCCAAGCAAGCUAGCACUUUGGAGGUUACAAAUUGCUGGUUAGAUGUUAUUCCGAGUUUCCUUGUAACUAGCCUCCUGGCUGAUGAUGCUGGGGCGGUUGAUGUUGAAUAA
Molecule: ribosomal RNA, 1494 nt
Filed under: Triticum aestivum (bread wheat)
Lineage: Eukaryota; Viridiplantae; Streptophyta; Magnoliopsida; Poales; Poaceae
Description: partial small subunit ribosomal RNA
Source: RNAcentral